RNAcentral lists this ribosomal RNA (164 nucleotides) under Valeriana minutiflora. Its description in RNAcentral is "5.8S ribosomal RNA". It matches the Rfam family "5.8S ribosomal RNA". From Rfam's summary of the family: 5.8S ribosomal RNA (5.8S rRNA) is a component of the large subunit of the eukaryotic ribosome. It is transcribed by RNA polymerase I as part of the 45S precursor that also contains 18S and 28S rRNA. Lineage: Eukaryota; Viridiplantae; Streptophyta; Magnoliopsida; Dipsacales; Caprifoliaceae. The record is from RNAcentral.
CAAACGACUCUCGGCAACGGAUAUCUCGGCUCUUGCAUCGAUGAAGAACGUAGCGAAAUGCGAUACUUGGUGUGAAUUGCAGAAUCCCGUGAACCAUCGAGUCUUUGAACGCAAGUUGCGCCCGAAGCCAUUAGGCCGAGGGCACGCCUGCCUGGGCGUCACGC